This 817-nucleotide ribosomal RNA is filed under the name uncultured bacterium. RNAcentral describes it as "bacterial SSU rRNA". It matches the Rfam family "Bacterial small subunit ribosomal RNA", at positions 8 to 853 of the family's 1533-position model. The record is from RNAcentral.
AGAGUUUGAUCCUGGCUCAGGAUGAACGCUGGCGGCGUGCCUAACACAUGCAAGUCGAGCGAUCUUCCUUCGGAAGAGAGCGGCGGACGGGUGAGUAACGCGUGGGUAACCUGCCUCAUACACAUGGAUAACAUACCGAAAGGUAUGCUAAUACAAGAUGAUAUAAGAAAUUCGCAUGGAUUUCUUAUCAAAGCUCCGGCGGUAUGAGAUGGACCCGCGUCUGAUUAGCUAGUUGGUAAGGUAACGGCUUACCAAGGCGACGAUCAGUAGCCGACCUGGGAGGGUGAUCGGCCACAUUGGAACUGAGACACGGUCCAAACUCCUACGGGAGGCAGCAGUGGGGAAUAUUGCACAAUGGGCGAAAGCCUGAUGCAGCAACGCCGCGUGAGCGAUGAAGGCCUUCGGGUCGUAAAGCUCUGUCCUCAAGGAAGAUAAUGACGGUACUUGAGGAGGAAGCCCCGGCUAACUACGUGCCAGCAGCCGCGGUAAUACGUAGGGGGCUAGCGUUAUCCGGAUUUACUGGGCGUAAAGGGUGCGUAGGUGGUUUCUUAAGUCAGGAGUGAAAGGCUACGGCUCAACCGUAGUAAGCUCUUGAAACUGGGAAACUUGAGUGCAGGAGAGGAAAGUGGAAUUCCUAGUGUAGCGGUGAAAUGCGUAGAUAUUAGGAGGAACACCAGUAGCGAAGGCGGCUUUCUGGACUGUAACUGACACUGAGGCACGAAAGCGUGGGGAGCAAACAGGAUUAGAUACCCUGGUAGUCCACGCCGUAAACAAUGAGUACUAGGUGUCGGGGGUUACCCCCCUCGGUGCCGCAGCU